GAUGAACGCUGGCGGCGUGCCUAAUACAUGCAAGUCGAGCGAACAGACGAGGAGCUUGCUCCUCUGACGUUAGCGGCGGACGAGUGAGUAACACGUGGAUAACCUACCUAUAAGACUGGGAUAACUUCGGGAAACCGGAGCUAAUACCGGAUAACAUGUUGAACCGCAUGGUUCAACAGUGAAAGACGGUCUUGCUGUCACUUAUAGAUGGAUCCGCGCCGCAUUAGCUAGUUGGUAAGGUAACGGCUUACCAAGGCAACGAUGCGUAGCCGACCUGAGAGGGUGAUCGGCCACACUGGAACUGAGACACGGUCCAGACUCCUACGGGAGGCAGCAGUAGGGAAUCUUCCGCAAUGGGCGAAAGCCUGACGGAGCAACGCCGCGUGAGUGAUGAAGGUCUUCGGAUCGUAAAACUCUGUUAUUAGGGAAGAACAAAUGUGUAAGUAACUAUGCACGUCUUGACGGUACCUAAUCAGAAAGCCACGGCUAACUACGUG
This 497-nucleotide ribosomal RNA is filed under the name uncultured bacterium. RNAcentral's name for it is "partial 16S ribosomal RNA". It matches the Rfam family "Bacterial small subunit ribosomal RNA", at positions 28 to 507 of the family's 1533-position model. The record is from RNAcentral.